AACGUAGGAGACAAACGUUAUCCGGAGUUACUGGGCGUAAAGGGCGUGUAGGUGGUUGCGUAAGUCUGGCGUGAAAUUUUUCGGCUUAACCGGGAAAGGUCGUCGGAUACUGCGUAGCUAGAGGACGGUAGAGGCGUGUGGAAUUCCGGGUGUAGUGGUGAAAUGCGCAGAUAUCAGGAAGAACACCCGUGGCUAAGGCGGUUCUCUAGUACGGUACUGACGCUGAGACGCGAAAGCGUGGGGAGCGAACAGG
Molecule: ribosomal RNA, 253 nt
Filed under: uncultured bacterium
Lineage: Bacteria
Description: partial 16S ribosomal RNA
Rfam family: Bacterial small subunit ribosomal RNA
Source: RNAcentral